This 516-nucleotide long non-coding RNA is filed under the name Linum usitatissimum (flax). RNAcentral describes it as "long non-coding RNA (LUSI_LNC002290)". Lineage: Eukaryota; Viridiplantae; Streptophyta; Magnoliopsida; Malpighiales; Linaceae. The record is from RNAcentral.
CCCGGAAUUUCGCUUUAUGGACAACAGAUGAGCGGUCUUUUCUUAACGUUGGCUUAACUUCAGUAUUGAUUUCUGAAUCAGUUCCGUCAUCCAGUUCUGGAUCAUAAGUAAAAGGACACAAUAACGUUCCAAAAGAGACGGUGAUGGAAUGGAAGCCCGCCUAUGCCCAAUAGCUGAGUUCUCAACAAUUUAUUAUCUCUUACGGCGGAGGUAGAUCACUCUUAUAUCACAGGAAAUCGCAAUCAUUUAUUUCUAUCCACACGUCGGAAGCACAAAACAACGGGUGCAGCAGCAAAUAGAGAGAGCUGACCCCUUGGAGAUGAAAACAGAGGAUGCUAGUAGCCACAGGCAAAGGAGAUGCAGCAUUCCAUGAUUACAACAUGUAUCUUAAUUUCUAAACCGGUGUUGAAUUGUACAUAGCACGAGGCAGCUGAUAGAAUUUCUUAUCCCGCCCCCUUCUUUGGAAUCACAAAGCAUACUAAUUUGCUUUAGAUUACAAUGGUGAAAAGGAUUGAU